GAUGAAGAACGUAGCGAAGUGCGAUAAGUAAUGUGAAUUGCAGAAUUCAGUGAAUCAUCGAAUCUUUGAACGCACCUUGCGCCCUUUGGCUAUUCCGAAGGGCAUGCCUGUUUGAGUAUCGUGAACACCUCAACUCUCAUGGUUUGCCAUGAUGAGCUUGGACUUUGGGGGUUUUGCUGGCCUUUGGUCGGCUCCUCUCAAACGGAUCAGCUUUCCAGUGUUUGGUGGCGUCACGGGUGUGAUAACUAUCUACGCCUGUGGUUUUCUGCCAGAUAACCUUCAGCGAUGGAGGUUCGCUGGGGCUCAUAAAUGUCUCUCUUCAGUGGAGACAGCUUUUUGGACGUUUGAUCUCAAAUCAGGUAGGACUACCCGCUGAACUUAAGCAUAUCAAUAAGCGGAGGA
RNAcentral lists this unclassified non-coding RNA (402 nucleotides) under soil metagenome. RNAcentral describes it as "partial contains 5.8S ribosomal RNA, internal transcribed spacer 2, and large subunit ribosomal RNA". The stretch from base 1 to 121 matches the Rfam family "5.8S ribosomal RNA", at positions 35 to 154 of the family's 154-position model. The record is from RNAcentral.